RNAcentral lists this non-coding RNA (27 nucleotides) under Mus musculus (house mouse). Lineage: Eukaryota; Metazoa; Chordata; Mammalia; Rodentia; Muridae. The record is from RNAcentral.
AGACUCUCAGCUCCUCCUGCACCAUGC